CUGUGAUGUAGGCAGUGCCGUCUCCUCUUCACAUCUUUAAUCUCGUGCAGGAGUGUUGAUGAGAAUGCCAAAUUGUCUUGACUCCGCCCCUCGAUGACUGCUUGCCUUGCAAGAGGACGACGCCAUUUUGUCUUCAUGCAACCAAGAAGAAUUGGCCCAGGCCCCUUCAGUGUCUGUAAGUGAAGAAAACUCAAUUGAGGUUCCAAACUAUGAAUCUGAUGACACUGUUCUUCUGAAUGAUGGAAGCCCUCCAAGAAAGCAACAGAGAGCUGAAGAUAAAGCCAGAAUUCUGGUCCAAAAAAUCCUGCAGACUAAACCUGGUGGGGAUGCAAUCAUCAGGGAAUACAACAAAACCAAAAGCCUGACUGACAGCACCAGGAGAAAGAUUAUCACAAGUCUUACUGCAGAUAUGUCUGAAAAGCAUAGCACAUCUCCACCCAAACGCAUCAGAGAAUUGUAUGCCCAAGGAAUUGUAGCCCUGUUUCCAAAUCUUCGGGAUCCCUACACAAAGAAUAGAUAUGAACAUUAUUAUGACCCUCAAAGUGGACAAGGUUACUUGACUUGGAAAAUAAAGAACAUUCAGAGGAACAGUGCACCAGAGAACCGUGGUGGCCCAACUGCAGAGAGAGAGGCUUCAUCCAGCACUGAGGUUAUUCUGACAGAAGAACAGUGUAGGGAAGCAGUUUCACUAAUGAAACAUACAUCAGAGGUGGACACAGUAAAGGUCAAAAUGAGGGAGACAUUUCAUAACGUUGCAAGAUGAUUCAUGACCCAUGCAGAUGCACUGAUGUGCUGAAUUAAUUUCCAUGUUUCUUGGAUAUUAAAGCCCUGGUAAAACAACAUAUUAAUUGGGUGAUAAAUAUGAUAAAAGAGAAUUUUCAUUUUUGGAUGUUUUAUUCCUUUUAUCAUCGGUUAGGGUUAAAGGAAUACUCCGGGUUUAAUGCAAGUUAAGCUUAAUUGACAGCAUUUGUGGCAUAAUGUUGAUUACCAUAGAAAUAAUAUCAACCUAUCUCUCUUUUUCUAAAAAAAAAAAAAAAAAAAAAAAAAAAUCAUGUUCACAGUGAAUAGUACCAAUUUUUGGUUGUUUAAAGGCAGAAAUGUGAAUGUUGUAAUUUUACAAAAGGCCUUACAUUAAUUCUACUGUUAAAACUCAGGUUAUUCGAGCUGUAAAGUUGUUUAAAUCAUCAUUUUUAUGGUCGUUGUAGGGUUUACAAUGUUAUAUCUUCAUGACAACAAAGUUGUAAAAAAAAAAAAAAACUUCACAGAAAUUUAGUAAGCGUAUAGUUAUCAAACUAUAAUCGUUGACAAACAUAUUGUUUACAUCUGGUUAUACUUUUGGCCCCAUUCACUUCCAUUGUGAAUGUCUCAUUGUAACCUAGAUGUUUUCUUGUAUUAAAGAACAAGAGGAACCAGGCAAAAUUCAUUUUUGUGGGAAAUAACAAUUCCACAAUUGCUGUUGAUUGUGCUCAACUUCUAUCGAACCCAGAAUAUUCCUUUUGAAGUAAAUGGACUCACACAAGUGUUUGUCUGCUUUGAUGGUUUAUUCAGAUUGAGCUGGAUUUUGUUUUGAUUUUUGGUGAGAAGACAUCAGCUAAGUUCUAGGAAAGGUGGCCAACUACAUUUAUACAGAAAGUCAUUCAACAAAGCAAAGGUCUUCACUUCUCCCAAGACUUUCAGGACCUGAUUAGAAUCAGCUGUGAAGGAGGAUGAAACAGUUGAUAUCAGGUUAGACUAGUGGAGUUUAUAAUAAGAUUAUGUAGACAUGUCCAUGUAUUUUUUUCUGCAGUUGCCAUAUCUGUUAUUUAGGAUGGGGCAGCGAUCUUGCUUCAGUUCUUCUCUUCAUUCGAUUCCACCAUCACCACAAGGCUGCAAGAGACCUGGAAAGAUGUCCACAUCUCAAGCUGAGAAACACCUAGUAAUCUUCAAAAAGGCAGGGACUAGCAUACAAGAACACCUUGAUUCCACUGAAGUGAGCACACAGAAAUACAUGCUCACCAUUGGGACAAAGAAGAACAGCAUUCAUGGAUACUACAUAAUUCUCGACAAGAAAACCAUACCAUGCAAGUCUGUGAGUGGUCUUGGUGACUUUGAUGAACUGUUCAAGGCCCACUUUGUGUUUGGUGCAUCUUACAGUAAAGUGCUGCACAACAUUCUACACGUUCUACAAACAACUGUUUUUCAGAUUGACAUUGGCAAGAUCAAAGAGAGUCCAAGAGUUGCUGAGCUCAGAGCUAGAUUCAUGCAUUAAUUAGAGUUGAUUUGAUGGCAGAUGGAGACCUGAUAAGGCUCGCCAGAACGUCAGAGUGGGAGAGAGAGUGGCUAUGAGCAGUGUCUGAAGGACCAGCAGCAAAACUGAAACUGCCUAUAUUGAAAAGCCCUGGUUGAGCUGGCCACUGAGAGCCAUUUCUUAUUUUCUGUUAAUCUGAAGUGUGUGUAGAGAAUAAAUACUCAACUGUUUGCUGUCUCCUCACUCCUCCAUUGCCCACGAACUUGGAUCUUUCACAGUGGUGCCGAAACUUGGCUUUAGAGGAGAACGCCGUUAUGUCCGUACCGCUGGGCGAAGUCUUCAAGACCCUCGUCAGCAUCCAGCAAAAUCAGCAUCAAGCCCUCAUGGAUAUACGCCUGGGGCAGGAACAGCAUUUUCAAGUCUUGCUCCAGGCACAAGCGGAGGACUGGCAGGUGCUCCGGAGCCUGAUCGCCAGAGAGGGGGCUGGCGCUAUGACCUCCCCAGAACCCACCCCACCCAUGGCCCUGAUGAAGAUGGGGCCGAAUGAUGACUUCCUAGAUUUGUUCGAGAAGACGGCAGAGGUAUGGAAGUGGCCUCCUGACCAGUGGGCGGUCCGCUUAUGGCCCCUACUCUCGGGGAGGUGCAGCUUGCGGCACAACAACUUCCCGCCACCAGCCUCCUUGACUACCAACACCUAAUGAAGGCCAUCCAGCAACGGGUGGGUCAUAGCCCCAAGCAGAGUCGUCAGCUCUUUAGAUCCCUGAGCUUUGGGAAGCACAGCCGCCCGUUCGCUUUUGCACAACAGCUCCGGGAUGCCUGCCGGAAAUGGUUGAGGGAACCCGCGGCACCAUGGAGGUUGUCGAUCUGGUGGUACUGGAGCAGUUCGUCUCCCAACUUUCUCGAGGAAUGUCCGAGUAGAUCCAGUGCCACCGCCCGGCAUCGCUGGAAGAGGCUGUCCAGCUGGCAGAGGACUACAUGGCGGCGUUUCCAGGAAGCAGCGAUAUAGUUCUUUUUCUUCUCCCUCUUCUCUCUCUGCACCCCCUGUGUGUCACUCCCCCCCCCCCCUUCCCUCCCAGUCCCGCCCAUUUCGGGCUCCCCGGAAGUGGGGAGGAGCCAUGCCCAAACCCCAUCCCCAGUCCAGGGGACCCCUCACCUUGUCUGUCCCUCCUACUCCCCCUGUCUCCCUCCGCUAUCCCCCCCCAGGUUGGCGAGACCACCCCCAUGAGUGUGGAAGGAAAGCCUGGGCCGGUCUGUUGGAGCUGUGGGGAAGCCAGGCAUAGCCAGGAUCGAUAUCCGGUGAUGGAGGUGGGGACACCGAUCCAGAUCCCCGACCCUCCACAGGUUGCCCCCGAUUGGGCAGGGGCGUAUAAGAUACCAGUAAGAGUAAAACGGGAUAGACAUCAAGCUUUGGUGGAUUCGGGUGGUUCCCAAACCUCUAUCCACCAAUGCUUGGUGCAAGGCGGGGCACUGGGUAAGAAUAAACAGGUGAGGGUGAGGUGUGUGCAUGGUGACAUUGACAAGUAUCCGGUGGUUACCACUGAGAUACAAUUCAGGGGAAAAAGAGUAUAGAGGCAUAGAGUCGAGGCCGCGGUUAAAUCUGGCCUAAACCCAUCCAUUAAUUCUGGGAACCAAUUGGCCUGGUUUUAAAAUGUAUUGAGGGUAAUGUGUGUGGAUGGGUCCUACAAAGUGGUGUCGUGGUGUGUGACGUGCAAUGCUAUGGCUGGAGAGGCGGUGCCAGAGCUGUCCAUGGCGGCCCCGCAUCAUGAUGAUGCAGACUAGGGAAUUCCAGUACUCAGGGGCUUUUCUGAGGGGGAUUUCCCUCUGGAGCAGUCGCAUGAUGUCCCUCAAGCACGCCUUUGACCAAGUGAAAGUAACUGAUGGUCAACAGCUGCAGCCUAAAGUUGCGCUCACAUAUCCAUACUUUUCUAUUAUUAAAGCGGUUGUAUCGAGUGACGCAGGACACUCAGACCAAAAAAAAUACAACUCAGCUAUUAGUACCAAAGAGCUGUCAGGAAACACUCUUCCAGGCGGCUCGCUAUAACCCAAUGGCUGGUCACUUAGGUCAAGAAAAGACUUUGAACUGUAUAAUGGCCCAUUUUUUUUGGCUGGGCAUUCACGGCAAUGUACAUAAAUAGCAUGCGGCAUGUCGUGAAUGUCAGUUGGUGAACCCAACGGCCACCCCAAAAGCGCCAUUUUGCCCUCAGCCAUUGAUCGAGAUCUCCUUAGAGAGAAUUGCCAUGGACCUCAUCGGGCCAUUAGAGUGGACUGCACACAGGCAUCGCUUUGUAUUCAUUCUGGUGGACUAUGCAAUGUGAUAUCCGGAAGCAGUGCCUAUACGCAACAUCUCAGCACAUAGUGUU
Molecule: long non-coding RNA, 4587 nt
Organism: Myxocyprinus asiaticus (Chinese sucker)
Lineage: Eukaryota; Metazoa; Chordata; Actinopteri; Cypriniformes; Catostomidae
Exons: 8
Source: RefSeq, a predicted model, not a curated record